AUCUGUCUCACCCACUGAACUAACAGUUUCAAGAACACCAUCGUACCUCUCUCUAGCGGAUCUCACUCCGGUGGAUCUGUCGCUUAGAGACCACAUAGCUGACUGUCUUGCUCACCGAUCGUCGAAGACCUGCGAUAGCGGAUGGCUUUCUCUUUCUCUACUGCCAUGUCAACAUGGCCAUGGCGCAUGUGUGCUUAUGGCAAUGGCCAUUGUUUUGUGAAGGUAUCAAGAUCUCACAAAAAUCCUGGUCGUGUAUAUUAUGUUUGCCCUCGGCCAGUGGAUAUCCAAACAAGAAGGGGUAUUUGGCACUAUUCAAAGGGUCUCGGUAUCACCAAAAACAAUUCCGGGAUCAUGGACGACGCGACAACCCAAAAGAAUUGUUUAACGAGGCGCACGCAUCAAUGAGAAGCGUGGUGGAAAGGACUUUAGGAGUGUGAAAAUUGCGCUGGAAUUUUCUUAAAGACAUGUUCGACUAUGAUUUUGCGUCGAUGCUGGUGCCAUUAGUUGGUGCGUCAAUGACCAUUGGUUGGUGCGUCAAUGACGUUACACAAUUUCAUUUGUAGACACGAGACAGCCGGUGAUGCCCGCAACAAACAUGUCAGAUGUUCGUCAGUUCCAGAUGACAUGCUCGCUGUGGAAGACGGAGGAGAAAAUAUGGAUGACAGCCGCAUGGUUGGGGAUACGGAUGUGGAUAUGGCAAGAGUUCGCGUUCGUAUCCGCGACCAUUUGUUUCACAUACAGAAUCAAGGACUAUUGUGAAAUGAUUGUUUUGUAUACGAAAUUUGUUGUAUGGUGUCAUAAUUUGACACACGUAGCAUGACUUUUAAUUAUGGACGCACGUUCGUUGGAAAAACUAGAACAAAUCAUAAUGGACUUACAUUAUGGGAACCAAAAUUGAUCUAUUGUGUUAUGUUAUUGUAAUUUGUACAAGUAAAACGCAUAUGUGGUACGAAAUUAGGAUUUGCAUGUAAAUUCGUCAAAUUGGAAAGGAAAGUGAAGUGUCUAACAAACUUGGAAAUGUUUUUAUUUCGGACUGUAAACAU
This is a non-coding RNA of Camellia sinensis, 1043 nucleotides long. The record is from RefSeq and is a predicted model, not a curated record. Lineage: Eukaryota; Viridiplantae; Streptophyta; Magnoliopsida; Ericales; Theaceae.